AUGGAUGACGCAUCACUGGUCUAUUAAUAGUUACAUGGGUUUAAUCGAAAUUGAAGACAUUACACGUAGAAACUGUACAAAGCAUCAUAAUAUUCGUUUAUUCAACCAAAUCAAUGUUAAAAAUGUCACGAGGGAUUCAGAAAGUAAAUAUUGAUGAUGACAAUGAUGAUGUUGAUUUUAUGGAAAUCGAUGAUGACGAUGAUUCUGAUAAUAAAGAACGAGAUUAUAUGACCAUUGAAGAGCUACAGAUUCGACGAUUUCUGAAUGAACAAAAACGACAAAUAGACAAAAUAAAACAACAACACGGUGGACUGGGCAAAGCGAUAGGUGAAAUGAAAAGAGAUUUGGGGAUAGGGAAUGACCAAGAUAGUAUGAGCAGAAGGGAUGAAAGGCGCCAAGAUUUAGAACUAUUGCAUCGCAAAAUGGCACAACUUGAACAGCGAUUUGGAAGUAGGGGCGAACAGCAAUUUAGAAGUAGGAACGAUCGGCAAUUUAGAAGUAGGGACGAACGGCAAUUUAGAAGUAGGGACGAACGGCAAUUUAGAUGUAUGAUCGAACGACGAUUUGGAAGUAAGGACGAACCUGAAACAACAGGCUGAUGAUUCAAGGUCUAAACAUCUUGACUUGUGUGCCCUAAUAAUACAACUUAGUAUCCAGAGAUAUAGACAAAUGUUAUUGUUUACUGCAACAAUUUUAAGUUACUUAUUCAGUUGCCAUAUUUCUUUUUGUUUGUGUUAGCAUGUCCCAACAUUUAGUUAAUUUUCUUAAAUAUUAGCAUAGCCCGAUAUUUAGUUAAUUUUUCUUGAAUAUUGGUAUCUUCUGAUAUUUAAUUAUUAUUCUUCAGUAAUAAAAUUACCCGGUAUUUAACCGUUUUAAAUAUUGGUACCUCCUGAGAUUUAAUUAGUUUUCUUAAAUCAUAAAUUCACCCAGUAUUUAAUCUUUUUAAAUAUUUGCAUUGUCCAAUUUCUGCUCAGCUAUAAAUUCGUAUAACCAAGAUGAUUAAAUUAUUAGUAUAUAAAUUUUUAUAUGGAAAAUGUGUAUGGUAUAUAAUAAAAUAUAAAAUCUUUAA
Patella vulgata (common limpet) is the source of this 1069-nucleotide long non-coding RNA. RefSeq lists it as uncharacterized. The transcript is spliced from 2 exons. The record is from RefSeq and is a predicted model, not a curated record. NCBI's taxonomy places the organism in Eukaryota, Metazoa, Mollusca, Gastropoda, Patellidae.